This is a long non-coding RNA of Mauremys mutica (yellowpond turtle), 348 nucleotides long. RefSeq lists it as uncharacterized. NCBI's taxonomy places the organism in Eukaryota, Metazoa, Chordata, Testudines, Geoemydidae. The record is from RefSeq and is a predicted model, not a curated record. The transcript is spliced from 4 exons.
GCUGAUUUAAGCCAUGAAGGUGAUUUGUCUGUUGAUGGACGAUUUGAACGAAGCCUGGCUGGUUCUGGGAGCGUCUCUGGAAGAGUUCCACGGGCCCUGUGUUGGUGAAUUAAUAAGAGACACGCUGAUGAAACCAGAUUUGAUGAACCGUCGACAAUGCCAUUACCCUUCCCGUGCUGCUGCCCCUCACCUCUCCUGACCAAUCAAAUGCCACGUGAGAAUCAUAAAUCAUACUGAUUGGGACUCUAACUGAUCACUGUGCUGUUCAUUGAUUGUGGUGUCUCUCCAUGUAACAGGGGGCAAAGAGCUCUGUCCCUCUGCUGCCCUGGGGAAUGCCAAGAGCUUUGC